Molecule: small nucleolar RNA, 107 nt
Filed under: Olea europaea subsp. europaea
Lineage: Eukaryota; Viridiplantae; Streptophyta; Magnoliopsida; Lamiales; Oleaceae
Description: Plant small nucleolar RNA R71
Rfam family: Plant small nucleolar RNA R71
About the family: R71 is a member of the C/D box family of snoRNAs containing the C (UGAUGA) and D (CUGA) box motifs. Multiple nearly identical copies of this snoRNA have been identified in Arabidopsis, and it is thought to function as a 2'-O-ribose methylation guide for 18S ribosomal RNA.
Source: Rfam by way of RNAcentral
UAACCAUGAUGAGGACAUCUUCUAAGUAACUCCUUGAAUCUCUUUCACACCUCAUCGAAUGGUUCAAAAUCAGCUUGUUUAAAUUCCCUAUUCUCACUUCAAAAUUG